UUCGUCUCACGUAACUGGCGAAUGCCGGGCGCGCAGCUAGUCGCGGUUCGGCUAAAAGGUGGAAAUCCACCGGGGAACGUGAGAUAUCAACAGCCGUUCGCCUGGGCAGCCCAA
This 114-nucleotide non-coding RNA is filed under the name Noviherbaspirillum sp. Root189. RNAcentral describes it as "ZMP/ZTP riboswitch aptamer (pfl RNA motif)". It matches the Rfam family "ZMP/ZTP riboswitch aptamer (pfl RNA motif)". From Rfam's summary of the family: Previously known as pfl RNA. ZMP is also known as AICAR. RNAcentral also lists the same sequence under 1 other name. Lineage: Bacteria; Pseudomonadati; Pseudomonadota; Betaproteobacteria; Burkholderiales; Oxalobacteraceae. The record is from Rfam by way of RNAcentral.